This 459-nucleotide ribosomal RNA is filed under the name uncultured bacterium. RNAcentral's name for it is "partial 16S ribosomal RNA". It matches the Rfam family "Bacterial small subunit ribosomal RNA", at positions 338 to 795 of the family's 1533-position model. The record is from RNAcentral.
CCUACGGGUGGCAGCAGUGAGGAAUAUUGGUCAAUGGCCGGAAGGCUGAACCAGCCAAGCCGCGUGAAGGACGAAGGUGCCAAGCAUUGUAAACUUCUUUUGUCAAGGGACAAAAUCAGGCUCGAGAGCCUGACCGAGGGUACUUGAAGAAAAAGCAUCGGCUAACUCCGUGCCAGCAGCCGCGGUAAUACGGGGGAUGCGAGCGUUAUCUGGAUUUAUUGGGCUAAAAGUUUGCGUAGGCGGACUGUUAAGUCAGGGGUAAAAGCCCGGAGCUCAACCCCGGCGAGCCGUUGACACUGGCUGUCUUGAGAUGUCGAGAGGGAUGCGGAAGGCGCAGGGUAGCGGUGAAAUGCUUAGAUAUUGCGCAGAACUCCGAGUGCGAAGGCAGCAUACCGGCGGCGAUCUGACGCUGAGGCACGAAAGCGUGGGUAUCGAACAGGAUUAGAUACCCUGGUAGUC